Molecule: small nuclear RNA, 320 nt
Filed under: Octodon degus (degu)
Lineage: Eukaryota; Metazoa; Chordata; Mammalia; Rodentia; Octodontidae
Description: 7SK RNA (ENSODEG00000024542.1)
Rfam family: 7SK RNA
About the family: 7SK was discovered as an abundant small nuclear RNA in the mid-70s but a possible function has only recently been suggested.
Source: Rfam by way of RNAcentral
GGAUGUGAGGGCAAUCUGGCUGCGACAUCUGUCAUCCCAUUGAUCGCCAGGGUUGAUUUGGCUGAUCUGGCUGGCUAGGCGGGUGUCCCCUUCCUCCCUCAACAAUCCAUGUGCGUCUGUCCCGAAGCUGCAUGCUCAAUGGAAAGAGGACGACCACCCCCGAUGGAGAAGGACCGUUCCUCAGUCAAGGGUAUACGAGUCGCUGUGCUCCCCUGCUAGAGCCUCCACACAAGCUCUCAAAAUGGCUUGGCAGAAGAGAUACUAGUAAGGAUGUGCAGGGAAGGAACACUGCUACACUGCUGGUAGGAAUGUAAGUUAGU